GUGAGUCAUCGAAUCUUUGAACGCGACAUUGCGCCCCUUGGUAUUCCAGGGGGCAUGCCUGUUUGAGCGUCAUUUCCUUCUCAAAUAGAAAUAUUUGGUUGUGAGUGACACUCUCUCGAGUUAGCUUGAAAUUGUUGGCCGUUUAGUGUCAUGAUUGCAGUUAAUUUUGUUCUAUGGAAAUAGGAUUUUGUUAAUUUGUCGUAUUAGGUUUUACCAACUCGAUGAAGAAAUCUUAUUAACGCAGGAUAGAUUAGUUGUGAGGGCACGGCAAACAGUACUCUUUAAGUUUGACCUCAAAUCAGGUAGGAAUACCCGCUGAACUUAA
Molecule: ribosomal RNA, 325 nt
Filed under: uncultured fungus
Lineage: Eukaryota; Fungi
Description: eukaryotic LSU rRNA
Rfam family: 5.8S ribosomal RNA (bases 1-72)
Source: RNAcentral